Molecule: long non-coding RNA, 4955 nt
Filed under: Sus scrofa (pig)
Lineage: Eukaryota; Metazoa; Chordata; Mammalia; Artiodactyla; Suidae
Description: lncRNA (ENSSSCG00000055439.1)
Source: RNAcentral
GUCUUUUUGCUACUUCUUUGGGCCGCUCCUGCGGCAUAUGGAGGUUCCCAGGCUAGGGGUCGAAUCGGAGCUGUAGCCGCCGGCCUAUGCCAGAGCCACAGCAACGCGGGAUCCGAGCUGCGUCUGCAACCUACACCACAGCUCACAGCAACGCCGGAUCAUUAACCCACUGAGCAAGGCCAGGGACCGAACCCGCAACCUCAUGGUUCCUAGUCGGAUUCGUUAACCACUGCGCCACGACGGGAACUCCUAUAACACUCUAUUCUAUCUACAGUGUUAUUCAGGUCAUUUGAGAGAGCAGAAACAAGAGGUAAGCCCUAUCCUAGGUCAAAGAAUAACUGUUCUUGUGUACUCUUAAGUGGUAGAUAAUGUAAUUUGCAGAAUUAACGUGUAGGUUUGUAUCUUUUUUGAGGCAUCAAUGUGAAUACAAAUGUUACAUGUUCACAUAAGAGUUACUAAGGCUAGCCUAUUUCUCAACAUCCACACUACAAUAAAUGGCCAUACUGCCCAGUGAGUAUGGGCAGCUUAGAUCUCCCAGCAUUUAAAGACUUCAUCUGAUUACAGGAUGAUACCAGAGAUUAUGUGAUAAUAAAACAACCAACUGACAAUAUCUCUGAGUAAACUUGUGUUCAGAGGGACUCUGAGUUCAUACCUAAAAAGGAAUUCUGUGACCGAUUAUGGGUAAUUGAGAAUGUCAGCACACAUGCCUUAUACAUACUUAAAAUAGCAGAAGGGAUUUUCUUAACCCUUAAAUAAAGGUUGAGAUUCAGGGCUGGCAUUAGGAGAUUUGGCGGAAUGUGAUCCCAGGGAGCAACUGUGAUGGCAAAGAAAGUGACCAGGGAAUGAGAGAAAACCAGUACAAGAAUGCACCAUUGAGUGGGCUGUUGCUACUAAUGCCUGGCACUUUAUUCCAGGGGAGCCUUAGGAAAUGUAUCCCACAAUUAUUCACUAGGGAAACAAAGAGGGAACUAUUCAUUUAAAAGUUCCCUCCCCAGUCAUUCGAGGGAGGGUCCACAGACACCAACUCCUCAGCAUUUCCAAACUGCCUACCUGGGCACUGAGUGGGUCUUGGGGAAUCUCAGCUGCCAGUUUCCGAGGAGUCCCAGGGGAGGAGGUGAGAGCAGGUUCUGAGAUGCAGUGCUGUCAGGCUGAACUGUGCAAAGCUGAUCAAAGUCAUCACAGCAGUGAGUAGAGGCAGAGGUGGGACUAGAAAGAGAUGAAAUCAUGCUUAAAAGCUUGUCCAGUACCGUUCCUAUCAUGCCCACUCUUUGGGGUCUUAUUCUCAUAAUGAUUCAUGCUCAGUGGUUGAACAAAACUCCAUUGAAUUCCACCUAUUCAAAGAAGAAUACAUUCAAGCUACGAUCUUCUCAAAAACCGUAUUUCCUGGACCCACAUCAGGCAAUAUACUUCAGAUUUGAAUUUGUUCACUGAACACAGUGAAUCAUGCUGCCCAGCCUGAGAACACAACUGCUACAGAGGCAACAAGUUCAAUGAAAAAAAUUACAGUGUCAACAUACUAAUAAAAUGAGGAAUUCUCAUCAUUCACCAUACAGUAUUAGCCUAACACAUAGUGAUGAUUAUUUCUGUGAAAGUUAACAUUUCCCAAAAGCUUUUGAGAAACGUACCAACACUAAUGAAGCAUAAAUUGAUAACUUAAGAAGUUUAGGAGUUACUGUUGCGGCUCAGUAGUGACGAACCUGACAAAUAUCUAUGAGGAUGCGGGUUUGAUCCCUGGCCUCAGUGAGCUGUGGUGUAGUUCACAGAUGUGGCUUGGAUCCUUUGCUGUUGUGGCUGUGGUAUGGCUGGAAAUUGCAGCUCCCAUUCGAUGCCUGGACUGGAACUUCCAUAUGCUGCGGGUUCGGCCCUAAAAACAAAAUAAAACAAAACAAAAAGAAAUUUAGGUGUGCCAUAGUGUAUUAAAAUUUCUUUUGGUCCAUGCAUCAUGAUGAGCUUACAAAGGUUGAGACAUCUUUUUUUUUUUAAUUUUGAGAGACAUCAAUGUUUUUUCUUUAUAGUAGAAAUGAUAAUUUAUACUUCUAUCAUUAGAAUGUUUUAAAAUUUUUAUUAAUCGACACAUCAUAAAUGAGAAAGUGAUUAUGUACCCAUUUCAAUCAUCUAUUUCAGCUUGCUUUGGAAAGGAAAAUAACUGUUUUCUGCUAAUUACAGAUUUAACUUAAGGUUAGCAGAUCUAUAAGCUGUGGUGAUUACAGGGGCCAGAUUUAGAGAUAGAUGGAGCUGAUAAUGUUACCAUCUCUUCCUCAACAUGAUUAAGAUUAUGGCCUCAAGCAGCAGAACACAGAUAAACACAUCAAGGAUUCUGAUAUCCUGGCAGAAUGGACAUCUGAUGUUGGAAACCUGCAGUGCUGCCUCCAGGGCACAGGCAGUUGCUAUCCUCAUCAAAUCUGCGGGAGGCCUCUAAAGGCAGUCACUUCAAUGCUUGCCCCUCCCAGUGGUGCAUGCACAUACACCAAGCAGGUGGGCUAAGCUUAACAACAGCAGCUUAAGACACAGCUGAUGAAGUGUCAGCCCCUUUUUCUUUAUGAGCCUCACCCAGGUCUCAGUUCAUUAGUCUCCUAAUAAUUAAUUCAGAAUGUUAGAUCUUUCCUCCACACAGAACACAUGGAUUCAUAUUCUAAGUGUGCCAGAGAGAGAGAGAAGAGACAACAUUUAACAAUACCAUGGCACUGUGUUGGUCAGAUGCUGAUUGAUGUGGCCCAUGAUGGAUCAUCAUCAUCUAAGAUGAUUUUCCAAGGGUUGUACAGGAUGAACGAAACAGCGUCUUAUGGAGAAAACGACACCAAUGGGCUGGCCAAUUAGUCAGAGAUAAAAACAGCUCAGGAGGAGAUGUACACAUGGUGCAUCAAGAAGAAGACCAGAGCCUUAAGUCCCCAGUGCCACCUGGCAGUUUUGGGAAUGGUGGCUUCACUGUCCUGUGAAACGGAGCGAGUGCUAGUGCUAAGGACUCAGGGCUGAAAACCUAGGGAAAGGAAAUGGAGCUAAAGAAUCAAAAGAAUAAAACUAACCUGACAGGGAAGGGAGCUAUGCACUCAUCUCAUCUUCCACUCACAGCUGACAUUACUAAUCUCUCAUAAUACCAUCACUGACAAGCACUGAGAGAUCCUAAAAUUCUCAUUAACCCACACUUUUAGGCAGUUAAGUCAUCCUAUUUUUUGGAAGGAAUCAAUGUGUCAUCCUUGAUCUAUGACCAUAUCUUGUAUUAUUCUAAAAACCUCAAAUAUCUUAAUCUUUCAGAAGUUAAGGACAGAAAAGGGUCUUUGCAUAAACUACCAAGAAUCUUUCUUUUUCUUUUAACUGUAACUAAAAGUACCUAUUUAUCGUUUUAGCAUGUUCUGUCUGUGCUUUCCCUUUCGUGUAAUAAUAAUGCUAACUUAGAUGGUUAUGAUUUUUAUUAUUGUUUAUGAUUUUUAUUUUUUCUAUUAUAGUUGAUUUACAGUGUUUUGUCAAUUUCUACUGUACAGCAAAGUGACCCAGUCAUAUACACAUAUAUUUUUUUCUUUUACAUUAUCCUCCAUCAUGUUCCAUCACAAGUGACUAGAUAUAGUUUCCCCAAUGCUAAUUUGUCUGAUCCUAAAGCAAUGAUAAGGCAAGCACUAUUAUUCCAUUCUAAGAUUAAGAAAACCAAAAACAAAAUUUGAGGCUCAGAGAAGAACAGUGACUCCUUAAUUUCAUGUAUUUAGUAGGUGAAGGGCUAAGAGUUCAGAUCUUCAUCCAGAGUGCUUGCUGUUUGUCUAUGCUUUACAUAGAGGAAUCUGUCCAUGAUUAAUUUUAAGAAGGUCAAUUGCUUUAAAAAAGAUUUGGAAACCAUGAGAGUAAACUGUAUUUGAAGUCCUUUACUAGCACUCAGAGCUUCUUCAGCCAAGGCUACAGAGAGACUUCCCAGUUUGGCUGAGGCCUUGAGUGCUCUAUUUGAGUUGAAAGCUGUCCUAUCCUGUCCAGCAAUUCUAUCCCUAAAAUUAACAACAUUUUCCAAGUUCACUAUCAGAGGCAACAAGGAAAUUAUACAAUAAUGUAUCAUUAUUUUCUGAUCCUCCAGGCAUUUGUUUUACGUGCUGACACAGGAACAUUUGAUAACUCUCUUAGCUGUCUAACAGGGAAGGGCUAUCAAUUUUUACCAUGCAUCACUGAAUUACCUGGCCUUGCUAUAACCAUCAAAACAAGUUUGAUGAAAUCAUGGCCUUCAAGAGCAUUAAUUUUAUAUCAUUGAAAGGCAUCACUAAUGGUCACUGCUUGGUCUUAGUCUGAGGAAGAAACUGGGGUUAAAAUUCAUGAGCUACUCUUUGUCCUCAGAGUCACAGCUUACUCUUAAAUUGUGUGUUUAAAUUUCGUGGCAGAUGAAAACAAUGCUAAAACUUUUCUUGUAAGAGGAAAAUAUUCCAAGAGAAAAAGAUCUUUACUUUUAAUGGAGAAGGGCCAAGAGAAAUUGUGCAGUGAGUCCUCCUGUGAUGAUAAGCUUGGGUGCCCUUAGCAUGUCCCAGCAGAAGAGAGUUACGCUGAGAUAGGUCUUUGCUUAUCAAAGCUUCCUAAGACUCAAUUGUUCAACAAGUAUUUGUUGAGUACCUGCCUUGUGCCUGGCUCUGUGCUGGAUGCAUUGUACAAAUUAUUCAGAGAUCUUCAUAAUCGCCCUAUGAUACAAUCACUUUGGGUGGCUCAGGUCAGCCCUUCUACAAGACGAUUGCGUUGAGACAUUACAAACAUUUUUCCUUGUUUAUUGAUUUAUUUAUAGAAUAUCACUCUCCAAAAUGUAAAAUAAAUUUGAAAUCAGUAUGGUAUUGUGAAAGGAGUUCAUACUGGACACACUGUUUGCCCCUGGGAUUGCAGACUGUCUCUUGCUGGUAGAAGGAGUCAUGGCUUACCAACGCUGAGACGAUUGCCUACUACUUACUGCUGUGAGCUUCUGCUCACAUGCUUCUGUUCUGUCCUUCAACAAUGAACUU